Molecule: long non-coding RNA, 2165 nt
Organism: Ochotona princeps (American pika)
Lineage: Eukaryota; Metazoa; Chordata; Mammalia; Lagomorpha; Ochotonidae
Exons: 2
Source: RefSeq, a predicted model, not a curated record
ACAGUCAUCCUGCGCAUGACAUAAAGCCCAACUCCUCCUGGCCCUUACAGUUUGGCUCAGCACCAGAGAACCUCUGUCCCAUCCAAGACAAAGGCACCACUUGCAUGACAGGGCCACAUCUCCUAGGAAAAUAUCUCCUCAUGGAAGACACUGGUCUGGCCUCCUGCAGUGCCACGCUCCGUGUAUUUGACAAGCUGAGUUGGACACUCCGUGUGGUAGAGUGUCAGUUUGUCAAAUACCCCAAGUGCGGCAUAUGCCUAGCAGCUCCAGGCCAGGGAAGAUGGAGUACAAUGAGUAAAUUACCUACAAGGACCCAAGAAUGUUCGUCAAACACCAAGAUCUUACACACUAUUUUCUGUGACAUUUUGGGAACUGAAGCAUUGUGUCUGAGAGUGCCAGAGGGAAAAUGAGGCAGCUUUGGGAGCUCCAUCUCUGAGCUCCGUAUACCAACAUCUUAAGAAUGUUAAAGGAACCCAGUAGUCUUGAAAAGUUAUAAGGUACCCAGGAACAGAAGUGAUCGUUUUUCAUUAUUAUUUUCUUUCUUUACCUUCCCCUACUGAAAUUUCCCAGCCAUAACACCAUGAUCUUCCUACAGAAGCUUCACAGCUUAUUUGAGAAACCAGAGCUUAGUAAUCUACUUUCAGACAGUCUUGACUGCUAAAUUCUCCUUGAGCUUUCCUAUUUCUCCUCAUUUCCUCAGGCUUUUUUUCUUUCUAGGAGUAUCUUCUUUAUUUCUUUCUAUCAAAUUCUUCCCCUUAUUUCUUGGCCCAAAGUUCAAUCCCUCAGGGACUUACAAAAGUAAACCUACACGUUUUUUUUCUUCAUUUGCAAAGCUCUUCUUGCCUGGGUCCUGGCAUUGCAUUACCUCCUACUGUGGAAUAACACCUCUUGAAUCCUUGGCAAAAUUUCCAGGGGGAUAUUUUUGAAAUUCCUAUUAGAGUGAACUGUUAGAAGACCAGAUUGUGUUUUCUUGAUUGUGGUUUCAUUUCAUAGCCAAUUAGUGUGGUUACAGAAAAUACUGAAUAAAUGUUUACUGAUUGAUUUUUCUAUUAGUCUAUUAGGUCAAAUGCCAUCCCGAAUUUUGUAAAAAUACAAAAAGCCAAGCCAUGAACACUACAAUAAUCAAGAGUGUGUGAGGUAGCAGGCGACAUGGUGGGUUUCUUCUUUCUGCUAAAUAAAGCAAUGAAGGAGGAAGGAGCAAACUAAUUGAUUUGGUGGAAAAGUAAGUUUUAGAAUUAUAUAGUUCCCCAAAGUUACACAGGUACUUUAUUACAGAAUUUUCUGAGAGCUUUUAACAUUCUAUUGUGCUGAGAAUCUCCAAGAGUGAACUAUAACAUAAAUCAUUUGCCACGUUUAACUGAUGCUGCGAUAUUUUUUCCAUGGGCUAUCUCCUGGGUCCAAUGUUCCAUAUAAACAUUUAGAAAAUAUCCCUUGAAUACUUUAAUACCUUCCUUCUUCCAGAAAUCCUUUUUCUUUUUUUAUUCCUUUGUUUGUCCUGGGCUAGCCACCCUGCUAAGGGAGGUUCUUUGUUACCACUCAAAUCUGUUUGUCAUUCCUGCAAUGUGUGGCCUCAUUUAUACACAAGUAUGUCUUAUUGAAUUGGUUUGUAUGGAAUAUUUCCUCAGUUUGGGAGCAAAAACUAUUUUCAUAAGGUUUAUGCAGCAGUGAAUAUAUUUUAGGACUUCACAGGUCUCAUUCUUGUUCUCUGUUCAGUCACUGACUUGAAGUAUGUGACUUUAGUCAAGUUACUAUUCCUCUCUGGGCUUCAUAUCCUCAUUUGUAAGUGGGGGAGUGUUAGAAUUAGUUAUCUCUAAGCUACUUAAGAUGAAAGCUUCUGAGAUAUCUCUGGAGAUCCACAUGUUUUGUGGAGUAUAGGUUAUUGAAUAUAUGGUUGCUUUUUACCAGUGGAAACAGAACUAUAAUUCUCUCUGUGGGUUGUGAAUACAAAGCUGUUUCAUGAAGGAAGGUGAGGUUUUUGCUGGGGCAGGGACUGUCUUUCAGAGGUUCGUAAGAACAGUGCGGGAAGGAGUUGCUGCUUUCAUCAACUAUUUGGUGUCUGUGAUGAGAAAAAACACUGAAGUUUUGACGGUGGGCUUGGAAGAUUGAGUGGUGGUAAAAUAUAACUCUUCCUUGUUAACUUUUAUUUACUACUUUUAAUUUUGUAA